GUCCCUGUAGAGCAAUGGAUAGCGCAUUGGACUUCUAAUCCAAAGGUCGUGGGUUCGAAUCCCACUUGGGAUG
RNAcentral lists this transfer RNA (73 nucleotides) under Trichonephila inaurata madagascariensis. It matches the Rfam family "tRNA". Rfam says of the family: Transfer RNA (tRNA) molecules are approximately 80 nucleotides in length. Their secondary structure includes four short double-helical elements and three loops (D, anti-codon, and T loops). The record is from Rfam by way of RNAcentral. Lineage: Eukaryota; Metazoa; Arthropoda; Arachnida; Araneae; Nephilidae.